Myotis lucifugus (little brown bat) is the source of this 75-nucleotide non-coding RNA. The record is from Rfam. NCBI's taxonomy places the organism in Eukaryota, Metazoa, Chordata, Mammalia, Chiroptera, Vespertilionidae.
GGCAGUUCUCGGGUGAUGCACCCCGGAAUCGGGCUCCCAUCUCUCUGGUUCUGGGUAUGUCACUCAAGAACCACA